This 341-nucleotide long non-coding RNA is filed under the name Brassica rapa (field mustard). Its description in RNAcentral is "long non-coding RNA (BRAP_LNC005022)". Lineage: Eukaryota; Viridiplantae; Streptophyta; Magnoliopsida; Brassicales; Brassicaceae. The record is from RNAcentral.
GAAUUUCUAUUCUCUUAUAUAUUGCCAAUUUAAAAAAAAAAAUUAUAUAUUGCCAAUUUAAAAAAAAAAAUUAAGAAAAUAUCUUCUAUAAGGUAAAUAAUGUAAUGAAACUUUAGUUAAGGUGAGGUCCCUAAAUGCACUUGAAAAUUAUAUUGGAUAAUCUUUGGCUUCCAUAAGGUCGUGGAACAAGCACCCCACAUACUUCACUUAGGAUGAUCUUCAAAGGAAACAAGGCGGUGGAGCUUUGGAUUGAAGUGAUCGUGUGGCUUGAACCUUGAGUAUAUGAAAUUCAACACCCAUAACCUCACUUAUGACACCUUUCUCCUUCCUCAGCAAUCGAC